UACGUAGGGACCGUGCGUUGUCCGGAAUCAUCGGGCGUAAAGAGCGUGUAGGCGGCCUGGAAGGUCAGCUGUGAAAACUCGAGGCUCAACCUCGAGACGUCGGUUGAAACCACCUGGCUAGAGUCCGGAAGAGGAGAGUGGAAUUCCCGGUGUAGCGGUGAAAUGCGCAGAUAUCAGGAGGAACACCGGUGGCGAAGGCGGGACUCUGGGCCGAUACUGACGCUGAGGAGCGAAAGCGUGGGGAGCAAACAGG
RNAcentral lists this ribosomal RNA (253 nucleotides) under uncultured bacterium. Its description in RNAcentral is "partial 16S ribosomal RNA". It matches the Rfam family "Bacterial small subunit ribosomal RNA", at positions 524 to 776 of the family's 1533-position model. The record is from RNAcentral.